GCCUGGCUGCCUCAGUCAGUAGAGCAUGAGACUCUCGAUCUCAGGGUUGUGGGUUCCGAGCCCCAUGUUGGGCG
Non-coding RNA from Zalophus californianus (California sea lion), 74 nucleotides. Lineage: Eukaryota; Metazoa; Chordata; Mammalia; Carnivora; Otariidae. The record is from the annotation of a RefSeq genome assembly.